Long non-coding RNA from Musa acuminata AAA Group (dessert banana), 345 nucleotides. RefSeq lists it as uncharacterized. The transcript is spliced from 3 exons. The record is from RefSeq and is a predicted model, not a curated record. NCBI's taxonomy places the organism in Eukaryota, Viridiplantae, Streptophyta, Magnoliopsida, Zingiberales, Musaceae.
CACUUCCAAGUUGACAAACAUCCUCCAUCGGCAAAGGGGCAAGGCUGAGAUGGUGAACCAGAAUCCUGUACCAUUUCGAGCAGCGUCUGCUGUAGCUCCUCCAAGUCCAGGCUAUAUUGCUUCUCCUGACAUGAUUAAGGUAGGGCGAUUCCCUUCGGGGAUUAGCGGGCCGUCAAACGUGGCGGCUAGACAGUUCCUCUAUCCGCUGUUGGGGGAGUGCUCCUUCGGAGCAGCCUCUCUCUAGUACUAAAUCGGAUUCCAGUCCAGUGGAGAGCGAAGCUUCCUCUACCGCUAUGUAGAGUCAUUUGGAUGAUUAUUGAAGUUAACAUCACUAUAUUUACUUUU